Molecule: ribosomal RNA, 889 nt
Filed under: uncultured bacterium
Lineage: Bacteria
Description: bacterial SSU rRNA
Rfam family: Bacterial small subunit ribosomal RNA
Source: RNAcentral
CAGCCGCCGCGGUAAUUCGGAGGGUGCAAGCGUUAAUCGGAAUUACUGGGCGUAAAGCGUGCGUAGGCGGUUUAUUAAGUCAGAUGUGAAAGCCCCGGGCUUAACCUGGGAACUGCAUUUGAAACUGGUCAACUAGAGUAUGGUAGAGGAAAGUGGAAUUUCUGGUGUAGCGGUGAAAUGCGUAGAUAUCAGAAGGAACAUCAAUGGCGAAGGCAGCUUUCUGGACCAAUACUGACGCUGAGGUACGAAAGCGUGGGUAGCAAACAGGAUUAGAUACCCUGGUAGUCCACGCCGUAAACGAUGAUAACUAGCCGUUGGGGGGAUUUACCCUUUAGUGGCGAAGCUAACGCGUUAAGUUAUCCGCCUGGGGAGUACGGCCGCAAGGUUAAAACUCAAAGGAAUUGACGGGGACCCGCACAAGCGGUGGAGCAUGUGGUUUAAUUCGAUGCAACGCGAAGAACCUUACCUGGUCUUGACAUCCUGCGAACUUUCUAGAAAUAGAUUGGUGCCUUCGGGAACGCAGUGACAGGUGCUGCAUGGCUGUCGUCAGCUCGUGUCGUGAGAUGUUGGGUUAAGUCCCGUAACGAGCGCAACCCCUAUCCUUAUUUGCCAGCACGUCAUGGUGGGAACUAUAAGGAGACUGCCGGUGAUAAACCGGAGGAAGGCGGGGACGACGUCAAGUCAUCAUGGCCCUUACGACCAGGGCUACACACGUGCUACAAUGGGAAGGACAAAGAGCCGCGAAGCCGCGAGGUGUAGCUAAUCUCAGAAACCUUUUCGUAGUCCGGAUUGGAGUCUGCAACUCGACUCCAUGAAGUCGGAAUCGCUAGUAAUCGUAGAUCAGAACGCUACGGUGAAUACGUUCCCGGGUCUUGUACACACCGCCCGU